Molecule: long non-coding RNA, 877 nt
Filed under: Sus scrofa (pig)
Lineage: Eukaryota; Metazoa; Chordata; Mammalia; Artiodactyla; Suidae
Description: lncRNA (ENSSSCG00025065480.1)
Source: RNAcentral
GAACUUCGAGUCUGGAAAACGGCCCAGCACCCACUUCCUAGGGAGCGCACGUGUGAGGUCAGCAGGACCAGGCAGCUGGUGGGAAGAAGACCCUGUGAGCUCAGACUGUCCUUUCCGGGGGGAGGUGGUCCCUGGAGCAACCAGAGCUCUAAAACAUCUUCACUCGUGGCCUCUUCGGGGACGAAGAGCUGGUUCUUCCAUGGGCUCAGCUUUGAAGUGUUCAUUUGCACACACAGGACCAGCCAGGAGCAUCGCAGCCAAAGGCCGUCUCCAUCCGAGUGUUGCUUGUUUUUGAGCCCGGAGUCUCUUCCUUGGGGACAGACCCCUCUCAGCCCUCGACACCUGCUGUGUGUUUCGCACUUACAGCCUUUCAGGCUGGACCGGCCGCAUUUUGACGGCCCAGCGGCCGUCUGCCUGAGUCAGCGCGGACCUAAAGCAAACUGCACCGCCAAACUCGGCUCCUCUGUUGUCCAGGACCCUGCUGAGGCCACGGGUCUGAGCAUCCUCCUCUCGGCGCUCAGGUGAGCCUUGGGCCAGCUGGGGGUGGGGCCAUCCCAGCCUCACUCUUAGGCGUCUGUUUCCCUGGGCACCUGUCAUUGAUCAGUAGUCCUAGUGGCCCACCCGUUCAGUGGCCCCUACCUCAGAGCGGGUCUGGAGGGUCAGGAAGAAACACGUGGCCCUUUCGACAAGGUGGUGGCUGUGGCAGCUUUUAGAGGAACUGCCGUGGACUGAGGCAGGAGGUAGCUGGGCCCGGGGCUGAGAGCAGCUGGGACUUGUCAGGCCGAGUAAAUUGGGCCUGGCUUCUCUUUGACACUUUAAGGAGAAAGUUAAUGGCAGGAGCUGAGCUUUGUUGGAAUAAAAAGAUGAGAUGACCACA